AUUGAACGCUGGCGGCAUGCUUUACACAUGCAAGUCGAACGGUAACAGGCCGCAAGGUGCUGACGAGUGGCGAACGGGUGAGUAAUGCAUCGGAACGUGCCCAGUCGUGGGGGAUAACUACUCGAAAGAGUAGCUAAUACCGCAUACGAUCUAUGGAUGAAAGCGGGGGACGGUAAGGCCUCGCGCGAUUGGAGCGGCCGAUGUGAGAUUAGGUAGUUGGUGGGGUAAAGGCUCACCAAGCCAACGAUCUGUAGCUGGUCUGAGAGGACGACCAGCCACACUGGGACUGAGACACGGCCCAGACGCCUACGGGAGGCAGCAGUGGGGAAUUUUGGACAAUGGGCGCAAGCCUGAUCCAGCAAUGCCGCGUGCAGGAAGAAGGCCUUCGGGUUGUAAACUGCUUUUGUACGGAACGAAACGGCUCUGGUUAAUACCCGGGGCUAAUGACGGUACCGUAAGAAUAAGCACCGGCUAACUACGUG
Molecule: ribosomal RNA, 482 nt
Filed under: uncultured bacterium
Lineage: Bacteria
Description: partial 16S ribosomal RNA
Rfam family: Bacterial small subunit ribosomal RNA
Source: RNAcentral